This 414-nucleotide RNase P RNA is filed under the name Candidatus Firestonebacteria bacterium RIFOXYC2_FULL_39_67. Its description in RNAcentral is "RNase P RNA component class A". It matches the Rfam family "Bacterial RNase P class A". Rfam says of the family: Ribonuclease P (RNase P) is a ubiquitous endoribonuclease, found in archaea, bacteria and eukarya as well as chloroplasts and mitochondria. Its best characterised activity is the generation of mature 5'-ends of tRNAs by cleaving the 5'-leader elements of precursor-tRNAs. Cellular RNase Ps are ribonucleoproteins. Lineage: Bacteria; Candidatus Firestoneibacteriota. RNAcentral also lists the same sequence under 1 other name. The record is from RNAcentral.
GGUACCGGCGCGAAUAGCCGCUUUUGCUUUUGCAGAAGAGGAAAGUCCGAACUCCAGAAGGCCAAGAUGCCGCGUAACUCGCGGGACCUGUGCCGUAACGGGACAGGGACGGAAAGUGCCACAGAAAACAGACUUCCUGAAUCAUGGGUUAGGGUGUGGUCUUGCCCUGUACCCGAAUCCGCUUUGGCGGAUGAGUGGUUCAGGGGAUGGUGAAAAGGCGGGGUAAGAGCCCACCGGCCGCCGGGUAACCGGCGAGUGCAUGGCAAACCCCAUCCGGAGCAAGGCCAAAUAGGGGGAAGUCAAUAAAGUGGUGCCGCUUGUUUCCCCGGGUAGGCCGCAAGAGGUAUUGGGUAACCAAUAUCCUUAGAGAAAUGGCUAUAAGAACAGAAUUCGGCUUAUGGCCCGGUUCCAAAU